CAAUAGCGUAUAUUAAAGUUGUUGCGGUUAAAAGCUCGUAGUUGGAUUUCUGUCGGAGACGCGCGGUCCGCACUAUGUGCGUGUAUCUGUGUCGGCUCUGGCAUCCUCCUGGGGAACGGUGCUGCGCUUGAUUGCGUGGUCCGGUAUUCAGGACUUUUACUUUGAGGAAAUUAGAGUGUUUACGGCAGGCAAGCGCCUUGAAUAUAUUAGCAUGGAAUAAUAACAUAGGACUUUGGUUCUAUUUUGUUGGUUUCUAGAACUAAGGUAAUGAUUAAUAGGGAUAAUUGGGGGCGAUUCGUAUUAACACGUCAGAGGUGAAAUUCUUGGAUUGUGUUACGACGAACUACUGCGAAAGCAUUUGCCAAGGAUGUUUUCAUUGAUCAAGAACGAAAGUGCGGGGAUCGAAGAUGAUUAGAUACCAU
This 422-nucleotide ribosomal RNA is filed under the name uncultured eukaryote. Its description in RNAcentral is "SSU rRNA". It matches the Rfam family "Eukaryotic small subunit ribosomal RNA", at positions 592 to 1018 of the family's 1831-position model. The record is from RNAcentral.